UUUCGGUAUGUAAACUUCGUAAGAAUGGGAAGAAACAAAUGACGGUACCAUUUGUAAGCCCCGGCUAACUACGUGCCAGCAGCCGCGGUAAGACGUAGGGAGCGAGCGUUGUCCGGAUUCAUUGGGCGUAAAGGGUCCGUAGGCGGCUCAGUAAGUCAGGUGUGAAAUCUCCAGGCUCAACCUGGAGGGGCCACCUGAUACUGCUGUGGCUUGAGUCCAGUAGGGGAGCAUGGAAUUCCCGGUGUAGCGGUGAAAUGCGCAGAUAUCGGGAGGAACACCAGUGGCGAAGGCGGUGCUCUGGGCUGGAACUGACGCUGAUGGACGAAAGCGUGGGUAGCAAACAGGAUUAGAUACCCUGGUAGUCCACGCCGUAAACGUUGGGCACUAGGUGUGGGGUCUUAUCGACGGAUUCCGUGCCGUAGCUAACGCAUUAAGUGCCCCGCCUGGGGAGUACGGCCGCAAGGCUAAAACUCAAAGGAAUUGACGGGGGCCCGCACAAGCGGCGGAGCAUGUUGCUUAAUUCGAGGCAACGCGAAGAACCUUACCUGGGCUUGACAUGCAGGGAAAAGCCGUAGAGAUACGGUGUCCUUCGGGGCCCUGCACAGGUGGUGCAUGGUUGUCGUCAGCUCGUGUCGUGAGAUGUUGGGUUAAGUCCCGCAACGAGCGCAACCCUUGUCCUAUGUUGCCAGCGGGUAAUGCCGG
RNAcentral lists this ribosomal RNA (702 nucleotides) under uncultured Frankia sp. RNAcentral describes it as "bacterial SSU rRNA". It matches the Rfam family "Bacterial small subunit ribosomal RNA", at positions 416 to 1134 of the family's 1533-position model. The record is from RNAcentral. Lineage: Bacteria; Bacillati; Actinomycetota; Actinomycetes; Frankiales; Frankiaceae.